AACGAACGCUGGCGGCAUGCCUAACACAUGCAAGUCGAACGAGACCUUCGGGUCUAGUGGCGCACGGGUGCGUACCGCGUGGGAACCUGCCCUUAGGUUCGGAAUAACUCCCCGAAAGGGGUGCUAAUACCGGUUAAUCUCUUCGGACCAAAGAUUUAUCGCCUUUGGAUGGGCCCGCGUUAGAUUCGCUAGUUGGUAGGGUAAAAGCCUACCAAGGCGACGAUCCAUAGCUGGUCUGAGAGGAUGAUCAGCCACACUGGGACUGAGACACGGCCCAGACUCCUACGGGAAGCAGCAGUGGGGAAUAUUGGACAAUGGGCGAAAGCCUGAUCCAGCAAUGCCGCGUGAGUGAUGAAGGCGUUAGGGAUGUAAAGCUCUUUUACCCGGGAUGAUAAUGACAGUAACGGGAGAAUAAGCCACGGCUAACUCCGUG
Molecule: ribosomal RNA, 433 nt
Filed under: uncultured bacterium
Lineage: Bacteria
Description: partial 16S ribosomal RNA
Rfam family: Bacterial small subunit ribosomal RNA
Source: RNAcentral